UACAGAGGGGGCAAGCGUUGUUCGGAAUUACUGGGCGUAAAGGGCGCGUAGGCGGCCCGCUAAGUCGAACGUGAAAUCCCCGAGCUCAACUCGGGAACUGCGUCCGAUACUGGCGGGCUUGAAUCCGGGAGAGGGAUGCGGAAUUCCAGGUGUAGCGGUGAAAUGCGUAGAUAUCUGGAGGAACACCGGUGGCGAAGGCGGGUCUCUGGGCCGAUACUGACGCUGAGGAGCGAAAGCGUGGGGAGCGAACAGG
Molecule: ribosomal RNA, 253 nt
Filed under: uncultured bacterium
Lineage: Bacteria
Description: partial 16S ribosomal RNA
Rfam family: Bacterial small subunit ribosomal RNA
Source: RNAcentral